UGCAGGGGGGGCAAGCGUUGUUCGGAAUUACUGGGCGUAAAGGGUUUGUAGGUGGCCUGUUAAGUCAGACGUGAAAUCCCUCAGCUUAACUGGGGAACUGCGUCUGAUACUGAUGAGCUUGAGUGCAGGAGAGGAACGCGGAAUUCCAGGUGUAGCGGUGAAAUGCGUAGAUAUCUGGAGGAACACCGGUGGCGAAGGCGGCGUUCUGGACUGCAACUGACACUGAGAAACGAAAGCCAGGGGAGCAAACGGG
This 253-nucleotide ribosomal RNA is filed under the name uncultured bacterium. RNAcentral's name for it is "partial 16S ribosomal RNA". It matches the Rfam family "Bacterial small subunit ribosomal RNA", at positions 524 to 776 of the family's 1533-position model. The record is from RNAcentral.